GGAGGAUUACCCAAGAGGUCGAAGGGGGCGCACUCGAAAUGCGCUAGGUCGGGUAACCGGCGCGAGGGUUCAAAUCCCUUGUCCUCCG
RNAcentral lists this transfer RNA (88 nucleotides) under [Clostridium] aminophilum. Its description in RNAcentral is "tRNA_Ser_CGA". It matches the Rfam family "tRNA". From Rfam's summary of the family: Transfer RNA (tRNA) molecules are approximately 80 nucleotides in length. Their secondary structure includes four short double-helical elements and three loops (D, anti-codon, and T loops). RNAcentral also lists the same sequence under 1 other name. Lineage: Bacteria; Bacillati; Bacillota; Clostridia; Lachnospirales; Lachnospiraceae. The record is from RNAcentral.